This 468-nucleotide ribosomal RNA is filed under the name uncultured bacterium. RNAcentral's name for it is "bacterial SSU rRNA". It matches the Rfam family "Bacterial small subunit ribosomal RNA", at positions 28 to 524 of the family's 1533-position model. The record is from RNAcentral.
GACGAACGCUGGCGGCAUGCCUAACACAUGCAAGUCUAGGGGUAGCAAUACCACUGGCGCACGGGUGAGUAACACGUAGGUUAUCUGCCCCCAUCACAGACAUAACCCCGGGAAACCGGGGCUAAUAUCUGAUGAGGUCGCGAGAUCAAAGCUUCGGCGGAUGGGGAUGAGCCUGCGGCUGAUUAGCUAGUUGGUGAGGUAAUGGCUCACCAAGGCGACGAUCAGUAGCUGGUCUGAGAGGACGAACAGCCACACUGGAACUGAGACACGGUCCAGACUCCUACGGGAGGCAGCAGUGAGGAAUAUUGGUCAAUGGGAGCAAUCCUGAACCAGCAAUGCCGCGUGUGGGAUGACAGGGCUUCGCCUUGUAAACCACUGUCGGACGGGACGAAAGGAGGCCUCGGGGCCUCUGGGACGGUACCGUCGAAAGGAAGGGUCGGCUAACUACGUGCCAGCAGCCGCGGUAAU